AGGACGAACGCUGGCGGCGUGCCUAACACAUGCAAGUCGAACGGACGAGGGGAGCUUGCUCCCCAAGUUAGUGGCGGACGGGUGAGUAACACGUGAGCAACCUGCCCUUCGAGGGGGACAACAGCUGGAAACGGCUGCUAAUACCGCAUGACACAGCGGGGAGGCAUCUCCCUGCUGUCAAAGAUUUUAUCGCCGAAGGAUGGGCUCGCGUCUGAUUAGAUAGUUGGUGAGGUAACGGCCCACCAAGUCAACGAUCAGUAGCCGGACUGAGAGGUUGAACGGCCACAUUGGGACUGAGAUACGGCCCAGACUCCUACGGGAGGCAGCAGUGGGGAAUAUUGGGCAAAUGGGGGCAACCCUGACCCAGCAACGCCGCGUGAAGGAAGAAGGCUUUCGGGUUGUAAACUUCUUUGACGAGGGACGAUAGUGACGGUACCUCGAAAACAAGCCACGGCUAACUACGUGCCAGCCGCGGC
Molecule: ribosomal RNA, 476 nt
Filed under: uncultured bacterium
Lineage: Bacteria
Description: bacterial SSU rRNA
Rfam family: Bacterial small subunit ribosomal RNA
Source: RNAcentral